Molecule: long non-coding RNA, 437 nt
Filed under: Panax ginseng (ginseng)
Lineage: Eukaryota; Viridiplantae; Streptophyta; Magnoliopsida; Apiales; Araliaceae
Description: long non-coding RNA (PGIN_LNC005547)
Source: RNAcentral
AAAACUGAUAUACAGCAUGUACGUCAAGGAUCAUCGCCUCCUUGAUCACCCUGCAAUUAACAAAAUAAUAAAACAAGUUAUAAAUAUAUACUAACUAUGUUAAUAUUGGUAUAUUACGACAAUAUAUAUACAACAUAUUGAUUUUAUACCUCAUCGUCAUUCCCAUGUUGUGAUGUUGCUGCCGCCGCCACUGCCUUAGCUAACUCCUCAGGAUCCAGAGCCCCCAGAUGCCGCCCAGUAUCGUCAGAAGAUUUCGAUCCUGACAUAUAGCUCUCACACAGUCAGCCGGAGUAUGAACAACUGGAUGGCUCGAUGACUGUGUAGACUGGGUAGAAGAGCAGCCUGAGCCACUGAAGGAUGGGCGUCGUCGUUGUCCUUGACCUUUAAUGUAGUUCUUCUUCACAACAGACGCCCUCUCCCACAACUCUUGAUCAAUA